Non-coding RNA from Taeniopygia guttata (zebra finch), 547 nucleotides. The record is from RefSeq and is a predicted model, not a curated record. Lineage: Eukaryota; Metazoa; Chordata; Aves; Passeriformes; Estrildidae.
ACUGUGCAUGGACUGAAACUGCUCAUAAGGUUCCUUAAAGGAUGCUUUGCCAAGGACUAAAAGACCAACCGUUUAUCAUUUUUGGGACAACAGUCCCCCCCAUUUUCUCCUCUCCUGGGGCUGAGGGUCUUGAGAACAGAGAUCUUCUUCUUCCCUGAAGACAGAGGGCACCACUAUAUCCUCCUCAACUUUUCUCUCUUCACUCCAUUCCUGUCUCUCUCCUGGCAUCACUGCAGCAGAAAAAGUCUGCAAAGGAAUGCAACUUCCACCAAAUUCUCUGAAGAAAGUAUUCUUCAUAAAUCAGUCUCCUGCAUAUGACAUGUGAUUUUGAUGAGCUAUUUUGGGGCUUUUUCUAAGAUCCAGUCUAAAAAUGAUCCCAGGAAAGGGGCAGCACCAGCUGAGCAUCUAAUGGAUAUCAAAAUCCCAGCUCUGCUGCAUGACCACCAUCUUGGAGGAUACAGACGAUCAGAGAAGAAAUGGCAGGGAAAGGGACAAAGAAAAAUAAAUUUUUUCCUUGUCACAAGAUUUUGUUCAGGAAGUAAAAGUU